This 301-nucleotide ribosomal RNA is filed under the name uncultured bacterium. RNAcentral describes it as "partial 16S ribosomal RNA". It matches the Rfam family "Bacterial small subunit ribosomal RNA", at positions 509 to 809 of the family's 1533-position model. The record is from RNAcentral.
CAGUAGCCACGGGAAUACGGAGGGGGCUAGCGUUGUUCGGAAUUACUGGGCGUAAAGCGUGCGUAGGUGGUGGUUUAAGUCCGUUGUGAAAGCCCGGUGCUCAACACCGGAACAGCCCUUGAGACUGGAUAACUUGAAUCCAGGAGAGGUGAGUGGAAUUCCGAGUGUAGAGGUGAAAUUCGUAGAUAUUCGGAAGAACACCAGUGGCGAAGGCGGCUCACUGGACUGGUAUUGACGCUGAGGUGCGAAAGCGUGGGGAGCAAACAGGAUUAGAUACCCCCGUAGUCCCUGUCUCUUAUAA